UGGCUCAAGAUCUUCAAACCAAGAUCC
Molecule: non-coding RNA, 27 nt
Filed under: Mus musculus (house mouse)
Lineage: Eukaryota; Metazoa; Chordata; Mammalia; Rodentia; Muridae
Source: RNAcentral